GACGAACGCUGGCGGCGUGCUUAACACAUGCAAGUCGAACGGAAAGGCCCUGCUUUUGUGGGGUGCUCGAGUGGCGAACGGGUGAGUAACACGUGAGUAACCUGCCCUUGACUUUGGGAUAACUUCUGGAAACUGGGGCUAAUACCGGAUAGGAGCUCCUGCUGCAUGGUGGGGGUUGGAAAGUUUCGGCGGUUGGGGAUGGACUCGCGGCUUAUCAGCUUGUUGGUGGGGUAGUGGCUUACCAAGGCUUUGACGGGUAGCCGGCCUGAGAGGGUGACCGGCCACAUUGGGACUGAGAUACGGCCCAGACUCCUACGGGAGGCAGCAGUGGGGAAUAUUGCACAAUGGGCGGAAGCCUGAUGCAGCAACGCCGCGUGCGGGAUGACGGCCUUCGGGUUGUAAACCGCUUUCGCCUGUGACGAAGCGUGAGUGACGGGAAUGGGGAAAGAAGCACCGGCUAACUACGU
Molecule: ribosomal RNA, 467 nt
Filed under: uncultured bacterium
Lineage: Bacteria
Description: partial 16S ribosomal RNA
Rfam family: Bacterial small subunit ribosomal RNA
Source: RNAcentral